Molecule: ribosomal RNA, 574 nt
Filed under: Tremella yokohamensis
Lineage: Eukaryota; Fungi; Basidiomycota; Tremellomycetes; Tremellales; Tremellaceae
Description: eukaryotic LSU rRNA
Rfam family: Eukaryotic large subunit ribosomal RNA
Source: RNAcentral
UAAGCAUAUCAAUAAGCGGAGGAAAAGAAACUAACAAGGAUUCCCCUAGUAACGGCGAGCGAACCGGGAAGAGCUCAAAUUUGAAAUCUGAUGUCCUCUGGCCGUCAGAGUUGUAAUCUACAGAGGCGUUUUCCGCGCCGGUCCGUGUCCAAUUAUCCUUGGAACAGGGUAAUCAAAGAGGGUGACAAUCCCGUAGUUGACACGACCGCCGGUGCUUUGUGAUACGUCUUCUAAGAGUCGAGUUGUUUGGGAAUGCAGCUCAAAACGGGUGGUAAAUUCCAUCUAAGGCUAAAUAUUGGCGAGAGACCGAUAGCGAACAAGUACCGUGAGGGAAAGAUGAAAAGCACUUUGGAAAGAGAGUUAAACAGUACGUGAAAUUGUUGAAAGGGAAACGAUUGAAGUCAGUCGUGUCCGAGGGGUUCAGCCGGUCCUGCCGGUGCAUUCCUCUCGGACGGGUCAACAUCGGUUUUGGCCGGCGGAAAAGGGCGCGAGGAAUGUGGCACCUCCGGGUGUGUUAUAGCCUCGUGUCGCAUACGUCGGCCGAGACCGAGGAACGCAGCUCGCCUUCAUGGCC